AGAAAAGGCAGGUCUGCAAUGCCAACAUCUAGUAUCUAUCCCAAAGACCAGGGAGAAAGGAAGGAAAGAUUCUGGUUCUGUCCUCUUCCCCAAGGCAAGGCUGGCUGCCCUACCAACAGAGGCAAAGAGAAGAGUGUGCAAGGCUGGCUGCCCUCCCAACAGAGGCAAAGAGGAGUGUGUGUUGAAAUAUCCAUUGAAUCCCUGAGACAACUGGAUCCUGGCCCAUUGAAUCAUAAACUCAGCAGAAUCUCACAUCAUAACCCCAAAUGACCUGUUACUCACCAUGUGGCCCAGCUGUCUUCAAACUCACCAGCCUCCUGCCUUAGCCUUCUAAAUGCUUGGAUUACAGGCAUGACCCACCAUAACUGGCUUUGUUUUAGUUUCAGAGAAGAUGAAACUGAUGUGCGUCAAAAAGUUAUGGAGGCUGGGAAGACCUAGAAUGUGGCAUCACUAUUUGGUUAUUUAGAAAAUUGUUACCUCAAAAAUGACCUAGGGGUCCUUAGAAUAAUAACACACAGAAGAAUAGCCUCAUUUUUCUGUUGGGCCCAGGAAACCAUGCCGAUUACCGACCGAGCUCUCAAUGGAAAAAUGCAGUCGGCGUGAACCACGCACGAACACAGCAGAGAAAGAAGAAAACACACACCACGAGGAACCCUAAUAGGACAAUACAUUAUAAGUCACAGUGCUACGGAGAAACCCAGUAGCCACAUGGAAGCAGAGACCAUGCAUAUGCAUCUACUCCGCAGCUCUGUGAAUGUCAGCAGCUCCCACGGACUGGAGAUCCCGUGAGAUCCCGUGAGAUCUCACCCAUAGCCUCAUGGUACAUCCACUUGGUGUGCUGGGAGAGUCAGGAUGAGGACCUGAGAAGAACAGCAGCUUGAACCUGACUUCAUUUAACAGCCCACUGCCCUCUUGCCAAGAACCCAUCACAGACCUUCCCAGAAGAGAGGGAUGAGCCUCACCUAUGAAUAAGUCCUCAGAAACUCAAAUUUGAUUCUAAUGGAUUGUUUUCUCAGAAAGACUGAGCAUGUCCCCCCACAUCUCUGUCAUUUCCCACAGUAGUAACCUCUGCAGAUGCCACAUAGAAAACAAAACAAAACAAAAAAACAUGAGGUUGGUGGGCAGAUAGGCAGGGUAUAAACAAACAGCCUUGUAACCCAGAAGCUGUGUGAUAUACAGUAAACUUCACAACACUGAAAAGAUGUCCUAUCUGUUAAAAUGGGGUAAUAACAACUACCCGAAUGUUUAGGAAUAGAACUUCAAUAAAUGAUACAUUUUAUAGUACAGCA
This 1289-nucleotide long non-coding RNA is filed under the name Mus musculus (house mouse). Its description in RNAcentral is "predicted gene, 36041". Lineage: Eukaryota; Metazoa; Chordata; Mammalia; Rodentia; Muridae. The record is from RNAcentral.